UGACGAGUGGCGGACGGGUGAGUAAUGUCUGGGAAACUGCCUGAUGGAGGGGGAUAACUACUGGAAACGGUAGCUAAUACCGCAUAACGUCGCAAGACCAAAGAGGGGGACCUUCGGGCCUCUUGCCAUCGGAUGUGCCCAGAUGGGAUUAGCUAGUAGGUGGGGUAACGGCUCACCUAGGCGACGAUCCCUAGCUGGUCUGAGAGGAUGACCAGCCACACUGGAACUGAGACACGGUCCAGACUCCUACGGGAGGCAGCAGUGGGGAAUAUUGCACAAUGGGCGCAAGCCUGAUGCAGCCAUGCCGCGUGUAUGAAGAAGGCCUUCGGGUUGUAAAGUACUUUCAGCGGGGAGGAAGGGAGUAAAGUUAAUACCUUUGCUCAUUGACGUUACCCGCAGAAGAAGCACCGGCUAACUCCGUGCCAGCAGCCGCGGUAAUACGGAGGGUGCAAGCGUUAAUCGGAAUUACUGGGCGUAAAGCGCACGCAGGCGGUUUGUUAAGUCAGAUGUGAAUCCCCGGGCUCAACCUGGGAACUGCAUCUGAUACUGGCAAGCUUGAGUCUCGUAGAGGGGGGUAGAAUUCCAGGUGUAGCGGUGAAAUGCGUAGAGAUCUGGAGGAAUACCGGUGGCGAAGGCG
RNAcentral lists this ribosomal RNA (637 nucleotides) under uncultured Pseudomonadota bacterium. RNAcentral's name for it is "bacterial SSU rRNA". It matches the Rfam family "Bacterial small subunit ribosomal RNA", at positions 89 to 723 of the family's 1533-position model. The record is from RNAcentral. Lineage: Bacteria; Pseudomonadati; Pseudomonadota.